This 600-nucleotide ribosomal RNA is filed under the name uncultured bacterium. RNAcentral's name for it is "bacterial SSU rRNA". The stretch from base 1 to 458 matches the Rfam family "Bacterial small subunit ribosomal RNA", at positions 86 to 546 of the family's 1533-position model. The record is from RNAcentral.
GGGUGACGAGCGGCGGACGGGUGAUUAUGCAGGGAAACUGCCUUAUGGAGGGGGAUAACUACUAGGAAACGGUAGCUAAUACCGCAUAACGUCGCAAGACCAAAGAGGGGGACCUUCGGGCCUCUUGCCAUCAGAUGUGCCCAGAUGGGAUUAGCUAGUAAGUGGGGUAACGGCUCACCUANGCGACGAUCCCUAGCUGGUCUGAGGGGAUGACCAGCACACUGGAACUGAGACACGGUCCAGACUCCUACGGGAGGCAGCAGUGGGGAAUAUUGCACAAUGGGCGCAAGCCUGAUGCAGCCAUGCCGCGUGUAUGAAGAAGGCCUUCGGGUUGUAAAGUACUUUCAGCGGGGAGGAAGGUGUUGUGGUUAAUAACCACAGAAUUGACCGUUACCCGCAGAAGAAGCACCGGUAACUCCGUGCAGCAGCCGCGGUAUACGGAGGGUGCAGCGUUAAUCGGAUUACUGGGCGUAAAAGCGNCACGCCAGGCGGGACUAGUCCAAGUCGGGAAUGCUUGGAAAUCCCCCAAGGGGUUCAAACCUUGGGGAAACUGGGAUUUCCCGAAAACUGGGCAGGGCUAAAAAAGUCCUUGGGAACAAG